AUACUUACCUGGCAGGGGAGACACCAUGAUCAGUUAGGUUGGUUUCCCAGUCCAUGUCACUUGGCAUGUGCUCUAACGACCCUGUGAUUUCCCCAAAUGUGGGAAACUCGGCUGCAUAAUUUGUUAAAGUGGGGUACUGCAUUCGUACUCUCCCCUG
This is a small nuclear RNA of Jaculus jaculus (lesser Egyptian jerboa), 157 nucleotides long. Its record names the gene U1. It matches the Rfam family "U1 spliceosomal RNA". Rfam says of the family: U1 is a small nuclear RNA (snRNA) component of the spliceosome (involved in pre-mRNA splicing). The record is from Ensembl. NCBI's taxonomy places the organism in Eukaryota, Metazoa, Chordata, Mammalia, Rodentia, Dipodidae.